AUUCUUAUUUCUUUCGAAUUAAGAGGUGCAACUCUAUGACAUAGUCAUAAAGUUCAAACCAUUCAACUGAGACAGUUUAUAAAUCCUUCUCGACUACCUUGGAGCUUGUGGUGUAGAAACUAGGUUGUUAUAUUUGUUGAUUAUCAUCUUGUCUCUCAAAGAACCCAUUCUUUGAGUUCUAUCUCUUGUUCAUUUGCACUAUCUUAGGCAAAUCCUAGUGGAGGAUUACAAUGAACUACCCAACAAACAACAUUUGUUAGUUGGUUUAUAGAAGUGAUAUCCAAAUGUUAAUUUAAGGAUACCCACAAGAUAAUUUUAAACAAAUAUUGCUUAUUAGCACACAACCCCAAAUCUUAA
This 357-nucleotide long non-coding RNA is filed under the name Malus domestica (apple). Its description in RNAcentral is "long non-coding RNA (MDOM_LNC010473)". The record is from RNAcentral. Lineage: Eukaryota; Viridiplantae; Streptophyta; Magnoliopsida; Rosales; Rosaceae.